Long non-coding RNA from Homo sapiens (human), 239 nucleotides. Ensembl annotates it as SLC8A1 antisense RNA 1. Its record names the gene SLC8A1-AS1. The record is from Ensembl. Lineage: Eukaryota; Metazoa; Chordata; Mammalia; Primates; Hominidae.
GGUGAAGCCAGCCUGACUUGUGUCCUUCCCUUCAUGGUGGUAAUUAUCCAGUUGAUAUUUAUCUUGUUCCAGUCACCUUUAGAAAGCUGUUUGCUCUCAAAUCUCCAGGCAGCCUCUAUUGAUUGAUCUGAGUUGGCAGAUGAGUUGGCAGGCCUCAAAUUCCUGUUCCCAGUGAUAUGAGUACCCACAGAUAAUUCACUGGCAAGGGCAGUGACUGGAAGCUGGGAGAGAGGGUCAAC